AAUAUCAAAACCUACAGUUUGGAUGCCCUUGAGUGAAAUGAGCGCCAUUGCCACCCUGAAGGACCUUCUGUCACGUUACAUUGCUGACAGUGAUGAUGCAGACUGCAGUACACUACCCAGCAGGGGUCAGAGGUCAUGCGAGCGGGGUGACUGCAGAUUGUAUGCCCUGACACAGUGACUGACAGAUGGAUAUGUCUCUGCAGCACAGGGUUCUGAGCAGGGGAUAUCUGUCGAAGUUUACAACAAAAUCAAUUCAACUGGAAUGCUAUGCGACGUCAUUAAACAGACAACUGACUCUGUUGAGGGAAUUGUGGGAGAUGAUGUCCUCUGGGGCUCGGAUGUUGUCCCGCAUCUGCUUUGCUCUGCUUUGCUCUUGAGAAGUCAUUGAGCGAGUCGGAGAGGAGUCCAGGCAGAUGAAAUCUUCUUUGCGUUGUCUUAAACUGCUCAGCUCCACAGCAUUAAGCAUCCUUUCUGUCUAAUGAGCGUCUGCACAGCGAGGAGAAGCGUGUCGACUCUCCGCUCGCCUGUCAUUAACGUGCAGUCAGACGGGACACAGGACGGGCUGAAAUGGAGAAAUAAUAGGCAAUUUAGCAAUGCGUGGAGAGACGAGGGGGAUGAGAGGGAGGGCAGGGUCAUCCCUUGCUCUGUUUUUUGGGGAUCCUUUCCUGUCAUCCCUGCAGAGCCGUGGACGGGUAAUGAGGAGUCGCCUGCUGCAUAAAUAGCCUUAAAAUAGAAAGAAGGAAUAAAUAACUUUAAUAGAACAGAAUCGGAGAUGGAAGGAAAUGGAUGAAGUAGGCGGCUGUCCAGCUCACCGCAAGCCCUGUCCCUUUUUCCGGCCUUUUUCCUUUUCUCCUUACUCAUCCAUAGAACCACUGGACAAGGCACUGACUGAACAGUCAAAAAUGAGUGAAAAAAGUGUCGCUGUCAUUGGUUGGGUUACACCAACUGAGGUGUUUCUUGACUUGCCAUGUAAAGUUCACAAUAGGGGCUCAGUAACUAGUUAGUCUCUUAAUUUGGUUUUACUUUUUGUUCUUAAAUUUGACAUGAAAUGGAAGUUGCAGUUGUCUUUUCUUCUCUAUUGUGAUACAAGCAAAACGGCUUAUCAUACAGGAAAACAUGUAGGGCAGGACUUGAUUUUGUCCAAUGAGAAUUGAUUGGAUCGUUGACAGGUUGUCCCGCCCUCAUGUCAGUAAUCAUAUCAUCAGAGAAGCGAAGUCACAGCAAAAGCACAUUAAUUUCUUGUUUAUUCCAGAACAUUUGAUAUUUUGUCUUGAUUAUCUUUGAACUGAUGAUAAAUUUACCUGACAUAAUAAAUUGUUACAUGAUCAAGCGCGAGUUUACAACUCGAGAGGGUUUUCAUGAUGCGUCAUCAAUCUGGAAGUCGGCCAUUUUGGAGGCACUGAACAUAAACAAUGCCGAACGGAAAACUGAACGGACUCGCAAAUUUGGCUGAUUAUUUCUGCUGAAAAAUUGUUUGAGUUUUGGUCUGUACUAAUCGUUGCAUCAGGAAAAAAACAUUUUGAGUUCUUUAGACUGCCAAAGGUUAAAAAGAAGAGUGCAAAAAAACUGAUGAAGGAAGGCGAUGUUGUCUUAUUUAAAUUUUACAAAAUGGAAAUAUGUAGCUGCCGUGCUGGACUAUACAAUACUGGGUAUUGAGCUGCAGAACUGUAGGAGGCUGUUAUGUACAGCUUUUUUCCAUGCUCUUGUCUGCGCCGGUUUCAAAAUAUGUUUUAGAAAUAAUAAUUUUCUGCUCGUCCGGCACUUUGCAACAACACAGCAUUGUUUCGGCAAUGACCUGUAGCAUGUUUCCUCUAACAACCUCUGACAUUUACAUUUUGCAUGGUGUGAGAGUCACAUACCACCCGAAAUUU
Molecule: long non-coding RNA, 1871 nt
Organism: Pimephales promelas (fathead minnow)
Lineage: Eukaryota; Metazoa; Chordata; Actinopteri; Cypriniformes; Leuciscidae
Source: RefSeq, a predicted model, not a curated record